Long non-coding RNA from Erigeron canadensis, 755 nucleotides. RefSeq lists it as uncharacterized. Lineage: Eukaryota; Viridiplantae; Streptophyta; Magnoliopsida; Asterales; Asteraceae. The record is from RefSeq and is a predicted model, not a curated record. The transcript is spliced from 3 exons.
AUACGGGCCGUACAUUUUAACUAAGUCCCCAAUUAUGUAGGAGAGAACUAGAAUGCUAAAUUGUAGCAUUCUUUUCAGUUAGAGAAUUAGAGAACUUUAAUUUUUUUGGUGUCGUGUACUUAGUUAAGAAGUCAAGAGCUCCAGCAUGCUUAUUUGGGCCACAUUUUCGGGAUAUUGGAUAAGUUUUACAUAUUCUAUAAGUUAGGGAUUGGGAUGUUGAUUUUGAUCCAGAGAAAUAAUAGCCUACAGGCUUGACAAUUAUUCCCCACUUCUUUAGGAGAUUACAAGUAAUGGAUACCCCAAAGUUGAAACCUUUCUUCGAAGAUUUAUUCACUUUGCUAGUCAUUAUUAAGUAUGCACACAGUUCUUAAGUCACACCCCAAUGAUCAAUAAUGAGUCAUUACUGAUAUGCGUUCAGAAGCUCAAUUUUUCUUUUAACAGUGAAAUUCAGGUGGUCAUAUGUUUGAUAUUCAGAAUGGAUGGGGGACGGGGACUAUGAAUUCAAGUUAUAGCAGCGUUGAUAACAAUCAGUAAAUUUGGCAAGCUCACAAAUCACAACAAACAUACACACUGACAUCAUAUCGUAGAGUUGCCCACGGAAGUCUUUUGUAUUUAUUUGAUUGAGAUGAUUUUACGUGGAUUUGUUUGAAUCUGGAAGAAGCUCAUUCUAUCUUUACUUUAAUCAUGUAAACCACUUUUCAAAUAUUGAUACUUUGCGUCAUAAUCGUUAUUGUCAACAGUAAUUUUUAACCUAA